AUUGAACGCUGGCGGCAUGCCUUACACAUGCAAGUCGAACGGCAGCACGGGAGCAAUCCUGGUGGCGAGUGGCGAACGGGUGAGUAAAGUAUCGGAACGUGCCCAGUCGUGGGGGAUAACGUAGCGAAAGUUACGCUAAUACCGCAUACGAUCUAUGGAUGAAAGCGGGGGAUCGCAAGAACUCGCGCGAUUGGAGCGGCCGAAAUCAGAUUAGGUAGUUGGUGGGGUAAAGGCUCACAAAGCCGACGUUCUGUAGCUGGUCUGGGAGGACGACCAGCCACACUGGGACUGAUACACGGCCCACACUCCUACGGGAGGCAGAAGUGGGGAAUGUUGGAAAAUGAGCGCAAGCCUGAUCCAGCCAUGCCGCGUGCAGGAUGAAGGCCUUCGGGUUGUAAACUGCUUUUGUACGGAACGAAAAGGUUUGACUUAAUGCGUUGGACUCAUGACGGUACCGUAAGAAUAAGCACCGGCUAACUACGUGCCAGCCGCCGCAGUAA
Molecule: ribosomal RNA, 500 nt
Filed under: uncultured bacterium
Lineage: Bacteria
Description: partial 16S ribosomal RNA
Rfam family: Bacterial small subunit ribosomal RNA
Source: RNAcentral